RNAcentral lists this ribosomal RNA (510 nucleotides) under uncultured bacterium. RNAcentral's name for it is "bacterial SSU rRNA". It matches the Rfam family "Bacterial small subunit ribosomal RNA", at positions 28 to 497 of the family's 1533-position model. The record is from RNAcentral.
GACGAACGCUGGCGGCGUGCCUAAUACAUGCAAGUCGAACGCACUCUCGUUUAGAUUGAAGGAGCUUGCUCCUGAUUGAUAAACAUUUGAGUGAGUGGCGGACGGGUGAGUAACACGUGGGUAACCUGCCCUAAAGUGGGGGAUAACAUUUGGAAACAGAUGCUAAUACCGCAUAAAACCUAACACCGCAUGGUGUAGGGUUGAAAGAUGGUUUCGGCUAUCACUUUAGGAUGGACCCGCGGUGCAUUAGUUAGUUGGUGAGGUAAAGGCUCACCAAGACCGUGAUGCAUAGCCGACCUGAGAGGGUAAUCGGCCACACUGGGACUGAGACACGGCCCAGACUCCUACGGGAGGCAGCAGUAGGGAAUCUUCCACAAUGGACGAAAGUCUGAUGGAGCAACGCCGCGUGAGUGAAGAAGGUUUCGGAUCGUAAAACUCUAGUUGUUGGAGAAGAAUGUAUUUGAUAGUAACUGAUCAGGUAGUGACGGUAUCCAACCAGAAAGCCACGGA